UUUGUGUGUGUUGCAAUAUCCAAGCUCUUUCUCUAAUCCGGAACAAGUCAGUGAUGCACUUCUCAUGUGACGAUGAGCGUUGUGAAGAGCACCUUGUGUGCUCCUGGUGAUGUGCAAUUUCC
This is a non-coding RNA of Caenorhabditis elegans, 122 nucleotides long. The record is from Ensembl. Lineage: Eukaryota; Metazoa; Nematoda; Chromadorea; Rhabditida; Rhabditidae.